Molecule: long non-coding RNA, 797 nt
Filed under: Homo sapiens (human)
Lineage: Eukaryota; Metazoa; Chordata; Mammalia; Primates; Hominidae
Description: HSALNT0329850
Source: RNAcentral
CUGGCUGAUGUCUUCUGAUUUUGUGAUUCUGUUUCAUUUCUGUGGGACUCUUAACUUUCUUUUUCUUUUUCUUUUCGAGACACAGCCUGUCUCUGUCUCCCAGGCUGGAGUGCAGCGGCUCCAUCUCUGCUCACAGCAACCUCUGCCUCCUGGGCUCAAGCGAUCCUCCUGCCUCAGCCUCCUCCCGAGUAGCUGGGACCACAGGUACUAACCAGGCCUGACCCUACUUAGCUUCCAAGAUCAGAGGAGACCGGGCACGUUCAAGAUGACUUGGAACUGAAGAAGCUGGCAAUCUGGAAAUGCCAAUGGACGCAGAUUUUAAAAGCCCCAGCAAAAGUCUGCUUUCUCUAUUCAUAGGACCAGGAUCAGGAAGAGGACAGCUUAGAAAGACAUAAAAUUCUUAGACAAUAACUGUUCUACCCCAGCCAAACACCAAACACACACACACACACACACACACACACACUCCAACAACUAUGGCCCCACCCACUUCAGCAAAGGCUGAGUAGGAGCCUAAACUUCCACCACUGAGCGGCUAUAAGAAGUUACCCCAAGACCCCACCAACGUGGUGUUAAAGAAGGCCAAAUAGGGGACAAAAUUUUUAUCCAUGCUGACCAGUUAUGAGGUUCCCUUUUUCCCUCUGUGAAAUAAAAAUAAAGCCCGUAGGUCCCCAGGCAAGAUGAAAUGGACUCCUUGUUGCAAAAGAGACCCCAGAAAACUUUAAAAGCUGGAUUCUAUGGCUUUGGCAAGCCAGACACCACUGGUUGGUUUACAGGAAUAAGCAGUCUAAAUUGCA